ACAGGGCUUCGAAUCUGGUUGC
Molecule: non-coding RNA, 22 nt
Filed under: Arabidopsis thaliana (thale cress)
Lineage: Eukaryota; Viridiplantae; Streptophyta; Magnoliopsida; Brassicales; Brassicaceae
Source: RNAcentral